CCCUUAGAUGUUCUGGGCCGCACGCGCGCUACACUGAUGCAUUCAACGAGUCUAAAACCCGCUCUGAUAGGGGUGGGUAAUCUUUUGAAUGUGCAUCGUGAUUGGGAUAGAUGAUUGCAAUUUUUCAUCUUCAACGAGGAAUGCCUAGUAAACGCAAGUCAUCAGCUUGCAUUGAUUACGUCCCUGCCCUUUGUACACACCGCCCGUCGCUCCUACCGAUUGAAUGAUCCGAUGAAUAUCAUGGAUUGAGGAUGCAAGUAGGUUCGCCUAUCUUCAUCUUCGAGAAGUGAAGUAAAUCUUAUCAUUUAGAGGAAGGAGAAGUCGUAACA
Molecule: ribosomal RNA, 329 nt
Filed under: uncultured eukaryote
Lineage: Eukaryota
Description: partial 18S ribosomal RNA
Rfam family: Eukaryotic small subunit ribosomal RNA
Source: RNAcentral